ACACAUGCAAGUCGAGCGGAGACAGGGAGUAGCUUGCUAUGAACUGUUUUAGCGGCGGACGGGUGAGUAACGCGUGAGCAACCUUUCCCAGACAGGGGGAUAACACACCGAAAGGUGUACUAAUACCGCAUAAGACCACGGAAUCACAUGGUUCUGAGGUAAAAGAUUUAUCGGUUUGGGGUGGGCUCGCGUCCGAUUAGGUAGUUGGUGAGGUAACGGCCCACCAAGCCGACGAUCGGUAGCCGACCUGAGAGGGUGAUCGGCCACAUUGGGACUGAGACACGGCCCAAACUCCUACGGGAGGCAGCAGUGGGGAAUAUUGGGCAAUGGAGGAAACUCUGACCCAGCAACGCCGCGUGGAGGAAGAAGGUUUUCGGAUCGUAAACUCCUGUCCUUGGAGACGAGUAGAAGACGGUAUCCAAGGAGGAAGCCCCGGCUAACUACGUGCCAGCAGCCGCGGUAAUACGUAGGGGGCAAGCGUUGUCCGGAAUAAUUGGGCGUAAAGGGCGCGUAGGCGGCUCGGUAAGUCUGGAGUGAAAGUCCUGCUUUUAAGGUGGGAAUUGCUUUGGAUACUGUCGGGCUUGAGUGCAGGAGAGGUUAGUGGAAUUCCCAGUGUAGCGGUGAAAUGCGUAGAGAUUGGGAGGAACACCAGUGGCGAAGGCGACUAACUGGACUGUAACUGACGCUGAGGCGCGAAAGUGUGGGGAGCAAACAGGAUUAGAUACCCUGGUAGUCCACACUGUAAACGAUGAAUGCUAGGUGUAGGGGGUAUCGAUCCCUUCUGUGCCGCAGUCAACACAAUAAGCAUUCCGCCUGGGGAGUACGGCCGCA
RNAcentral lists this ribosomal RNA (831 nucleotides) under uncultured bacterium. RNAcentral describes it as "bacterial SSU rRNA". It matches the Rfam family "Bacterial small subunit ribosomal RNA", at positions 51 to 890 of the family's 1533-position model. The record is from RNAcentral.